This is an RNA transcript of Rhea pennata, 1074 nucleotides long. It is a transcript of the gene named coiled-coil-helix-coiled-coil-helix domain containing 5, with no coding region annotated. The transcript is spliced from 6 exons. The record is from RefSeq and is a predicted model, not a curated record. NCBI's taxonomy places the organism in Eukaryota, Metazoa, Chordata, Aves, Rheiformes, Rheidae.
CGCCGUGUCGGGGCGCCGGCGGCCGCGCAUGCGCACAGCAGAGGCAGCGCGGGGCUGGCGCGGCGGCGGCGGGUGCCAUGCAGGCGGCCCUGGAGAUCACGGCGCGCUACUGCCGCAGCGAGAUGGAGCAGUACGGGCGGUGCGUGGCUGCCAGCCCUGCCUCCUGGCAGAGCGACUGCCACAGCCUGCGCGUCAGCAUGUCCCGCUGCGCCGCCGCCCACCCGAUCGUGCAGCAGAUCCGGCAGGACUGUGCCGAGCCCUUCGCCGCCUUUGAGCAGUGUCUGAAGGAGAACCAAGCCUCUGUCGUGAACUGCACUGAGCACGUCAACCGGUUCCUGCUCUGCGCCGAUCAGGUGAAGCUGUCCACAUGAGGAAAUUGUGGGAGCUCUGCCUUGAGAUGACUAGGAACAGGCACUGCAGACUGUUGGGCACACAGAGGUACCGUGAGCAGGUCUGAAUGCCAGCAUUGUCACAGUAAGAAGGGAGAAGACGGGGAAAGACAGAGACAGCAGGACAGUCUAGGAAAGAAGGGGCCAUGUUCUCCAGCAGCGUGUUAGCAGCACCUGAGACUUAGAGCUGCCAGGCCUCUAGAGAAGAUGAAUGAGCAGAAACAGCAGAGUAGAAGUGAGUGGGGACUGGAAAACAGAAGGCAGGAAAACACUACCUUGGAAGAAGCAAGGGAGAAGGAGCAGCAUAACCCCUCUGCCCAUGCAUGUAUGUGUUAUGUGGCCUCCUCUGUACCUAACAUACAAAGCAUGUGAAUCUGCUAUGAUGCUCACUAAGGACUUUGUGAUAGCUCAUAGUUUUAGCUCUGUAUAUUCCUGGUGUAGUCACUGUGUUUUAGACAAGAUGACAAGCAUUGGCCAUCAGGGCUGAAGAGCUGAGCAGAGACCUGUCAAAUGGAAGAGGACUGGAAGCCCUUGAAGGAUAGGUCAGUGGAUCUCAUUUUCAGGAUACUAUAUGACAACAGCAGCACUCAUUCAACAUUGCCAGCUGUCACCCAUGUUUAUUUAGCAUCUUGUUUCACAUGGAAUUUCUAACAAAGGAAAUAAAGCAUGAAGAGAUUGCAUGAUA